ACCAGACUCCUACGGGAGGCAGCAGUGGGGGAUAUUGCACAAUGGGGGGAACCCUGAUGCAGCGACGCCGCGUGGGUGAAGAAGCGCCUCGGCGCGUAAAGCCCCGUCAGCAGGGAAGAAAAUGACGGUACCUGAAGAAGAAGCCCCGGCUAACUACGUGCCAGCAGCCGCGGUAAUACGUAGGGGGCAAGCGUUAUCCGGAUUUACUGGGUGUAAAGGGGGCGCAGACGGCGAUGCAAGCCAGGAGUGAAAGCCCGGGGCCCAACCCCGGGACUGCUCUUGGAACUGCGUGGCUGGAGUGCAGGAGGGGCAGGCGGAAUUCCUGGUGUAGCGGUGAAAUGCGUAGAUAUCAGGAGGAACACCGGUGGCGAAGGCGGCCUGCUGGACUGCAACUGACGUUGAGGCCCGAAAGCGUGGGGAGCAAACAGGAUUAGAUACCCCCGUA
RNAcentral lists this ribosomal RNA (445 nucleotides) under uncultured bacterium. RNAcentral's name for it is "bacterial SSU rRNA". It matches the Rfam family "Bacterial small subunit ribosomal RNA", at positions 330 to 792 of the family's 1533-position model. The record is from RNAcentral.